This 455-nucleotide ribosomal RNA is filed under the name Deltaproteobacteria bacterium. RNAcentral's name for it is "bacterial SSU rRNA". It matches the Rfam family "Bacterial small subunit ribosomal RNA", at positions 1 to 437 of the family's 1533-position model. The record is from RNAcentral. Lineage: Bacteria; Pseudomonadati; Myxococcota; Myxococcia.
UAAUUGGAGAGUUUGAUCCUGGCUCAGAAUGAACGCUGGCGGCGUGCUUAACACAUGCAAGUCGUACGAGAAACCGAAGCUUCGGCUUCGGGAGUAAAGUGGCGGACGGGUGAGUAACGCGUGGGUAAUCUACCUCCGAAUCUGGGAUAACAUUGCGAAAGCGAUGCUAAUACCGGAUGGUAUCUUGCGACCCAGGUUGUCAAGAUUAAAGGUGGCCUCUACAAGUAAGCUACCGUUCGGAGAUGAGCCCGCGUGCCAUUAGCUUGUUGGUGGGGUAAUGGCCUACCAAGGCGACGAUGGCUAGCUGGUCUGAGAGGAUGGUCAGCCACACUGGAACUGAGACACGGUCCAGACUCCUACGGGAGGCAGCAGUGAGGAAUUUUGCGCAAUGGGGGAAACCCUGACGCAGCAACGCCGCGUGAGUGAUGAAGGCCUUCGGGUCGUAAAGCUCUGUC